CCUACGGGUGGCAGCAGUGAGGAAUAUUGGUCAAUGGCCGUAAGGCUGAACCAGCCAAGUAGCGUGAGGGAAGACUGCCCUAUGGGUUGUAAACCUCUUUUAUGCGGGGAUAAAGGUGUCCACGUGUGGAUGUUUGCAGGUACCGCAUGAAUAAGGACCGGCUAAUUCCGUGCCAGCAGCCGCGGUAAUACGGAAGGUCCGGGCGUUAUCCGGAUUUAUUGGGUUUAAAGGGAGCGUAGGCGGGUCUUUAAGCGUGCCGUGAAAUUUUGUGGCUCAACCAUGAGAGUGCGGCGCGUACUGGAGACCUUGAGUGCGCGGAAGGCAGGCGGAAUUCGUGGUGUAGCGGUGAAAUGCGUAGAUAUUAGGAGGAACACCGAUGGCGAAGGCGGCUUACUGAACUGUAACUGACGCUGAUGCGCGAAAGCGUGGGGAGCAAACAGGAUUAGAUACCCUGGUAGUC
Molecule: ribosomal RNA, 460 nt
Filed under: uncultured bacterium
Lineage: Bacteria
Description: partial 16S ribosomal RNA
Rfam family: Bacterial small subunit ribosomal RNA
Source: RNAcentral